Molecule: transfer RNA, 79 nt
Filed under: Podarcis lilfordi (Lilford's wall lizard)
Lineage: Eukaryota; Metazoa; Chordata; Lepidosauria; Squamata; Lacertidae
Description: tRNA.Lys
Rfam family: tRNA (bases 14-71)
About the family: Transfer RNA (tRNA) molecules are approximately 80 nucleotides in length.
Source: RNAcentral
GUCCCUUGAGAGAUAGCUCAGCCGGUAGAGCAUGAGACUCUUAAUCACAGGGUCAUGGGUUCAAGCCCCACAUUGGGCG